RNAcentral lists this ribosomal RNA (464 nucleotides) under uncultured Klebsiella sp. Its description in RNAcentral is "bacterial SSU rRNA". It matches the Rfam family "Bacterial small subunit ribosomal RNA", at positions 338 to 795 of the family's 1533-position model. The record is from RNAcentral. Lineage: Bacteria; Pseudomonadati; Pseudomonadota; Gammaproteobacteria; Enterobacterales; Enterobacteriaceae.
CCUACGGGUGGCUGCAGUGGGGAAUAUUGCACAAUGGGCGCAAGCCUGAUGCAGCCAUGCCGCGUGUGUGAAGAAGGCCUUCGGGUUGUAAAGCACUUUCAGCGGGGAGGAAGGCGGUGAGGUUAAUAACCUCAUCGAUUGACGUUACCCGCAGAAGAAGCACCGGCUAACUCCGUGCCAGCAGCCGCGGUAAUACGGAGGGUGCAAGCGUUAAUCGGAAUUACUGGGCGUAAAGCGCACGCAGGCGGUCUGUCAAGUCGGAUGUGAAAUCCCCGGGCUCAACCUGGGAACUGCAUUCGAAACUGGCAGGCUAGAGUCGUGUAGAGGGGGGUAGAAUUCCAGGUGUAGCGGUGAAAUGCGUAGAGAUCUGGAGGAAUACCGGUGGCGAAGGCGGCCCCCUGACAAAGACUGACGCUCAGGUGCGAAAGCGUGGGGAGCAAACAGGAUUAGAUACCCGGGUAGUC